RNAcentral lists this unclassified non-coding RNA (4397 nucleotides) under Leishmania donovani. RNAcentral's name for it is "gene:LdHU3.36.6370(CDS-product:hypothetical_prote in_conserved)". Lineage: Eukaryota; Euglenozoa; Kinetoplastea; Trypanosomatida; Trypanosomatidae. The record is from RNAcentral.
GUUUCCACCUCAUUUACAUAUAUGUGCUCGCGCACCGGCGUCCUACCGAUUCCCUCCUCUCUGCCACGCCACAUUUCACGCAUCCGCCUCAUUAUUAUUGGGCUCUUCGCCAAGCUGAGCCAUUCUCCCCCCUCCCCCGGCCACGUACGCAGACGGGAACACACGCUGCUACACCUUUUACAUCAUAGAAGGAUAUCAAGCAGCAACUCUAAGAGAGUGAGAGGGAGGGAGUACAUAUAUAUAUAUAUUAUAUCAAGGCUCAUCUGUUUGCUUUCACAUCGUUGCUACACCCUCUGUCGAGACAACGAACACGCCGCGCCGCUGUGCCUCACCGGUCGGGGAUUUUGGUGGCAUCUUUUUUUACGCUUUCCUUUCCUUCCCUUUUUUUCGUUGUGGCUGUGACCGUGCUCGCUUCUCUACAUCGACCCAAGCCCGAAAACGAAAAGCGCAACGCUACCCCAAGCCGCCUGCCUAGCAUGCGCACACGUAUACGGCCAAGGAAUAUCCAAUAAAAGAAACGUAGGCGAUAUCGCUGAAGCCCCCGUAACCCUGACUGAUUCUUGUCUGGUGAGUGCCAGGAUUGGCUGCUCAUGACUGUGUGGGAGUGAGGCACAUACAUACACGCACACAGACACAAAAUCAGGUAAAGCCAUUCGCUGUCAUGUGCAUGCCUUCCGCGCAGAGCAGCGUUCUCCAAGGCGGCGCGGCCACUGGGCCGCGGCGGCUGAGCGCGAUAGACCUGCAGCGGAUCACCGCCAUUUUGGAGGCAUGCGGUGUGUCAAAGGUGCAUGGAUCCACACACAUUUAUGCGCAUCCAGAGUCGAUCCACCUCAUCUCGCCUCGCGACCUGAGCUUCUUGGUGUUGCACGCUGACGUGCUUGCGACGCACACGGACUUGCUGUAUGAUGUGCGCGCCUUCACGGGCAUUCUGUGGGGCAUGAUGCAGCAUGCGGAUCGAGGAAUCGAGAGGGUGUUGCGCGCGGUCGAGGGCAACAGCGCGGCUGUUGCAGAGAGCGCGCGGGGUGGUAGCGUUGGUGGCACGCCGUCCUCGUCGUCCCCGGCACCGGCACCGGCGCACACAUUCGUGUACACGAAUGUGUCGAAGGUGUACUCGGCCAUGUUUCCGCACCUGGUGCAGGUUUUCCGGGUAGCGACGCUGCUGCGCGCGUAUGAGAGCACCGACGCGCGCGCAGAGGUGCGAGACACACGCCGCAUUGCACAGGUGGAUAUUGACGCGGUGGCCCGACUGGCGGGCCGUCUGAACCAUCUUUUCUUGUGUGAGGCGGGAGAGCGCUCGGCCGGGGCCCUCGGCGGUGCAGGCGCGCUGAACGUGACAGCAACUUACACGAACGUUGGCCAUCACCUCUUCCGCACCACCGAGAGCGCCCUCAGCUCUGUCUUGCUUCUCUUGUCAUCGCUGGCUGCUCGCCCUGGCAGCGACGCGGGGCCUAUUCUCCGCUACUUCCACGAUGUGGGCGCCUGGAAGGCGAGUGCACUGGGCAUCCUCAUUACCGAGAGUUAUAGCAUGUCGAUUCAGGCGGUGCUGUUUUCGCUGUUCCGGCGCAGCCGCGAGUUCGACAACGUCGAGGAGGUCGCCGCAAAGCUGCUCCUUCAACGACUCGCGUCGCGUCCGCCGUAUCAGUGGCGCACUUUCCGCUUGUUGUACUUCAGCGUGCAGGAUAUCGGUGCGAGCGACAUGCAAGCAGCAGAAGACCGCCAUGGCAGCAGUGCUUUCGGCCAGCUGCUCGUGUUCUGCCGUAUUCAGCACGCUCUUCAAUGGUGCCUCACCACAGACGGCCGUGAUAGCGCUGAUGAGCAUGCGACCGUGAAGUCGCUGCGUAAGGCUGUGUCAGCGCAAGUGCAGCGCGCCUGGUCGGAGCAGAGCAGCGCCGACAGAGCGGGAUCGCCGUCGCACAAGAGCAGAACCGACGCGCCGCCGCGACUCCUGUCCUACUACGAGCUCCUCGUCCUUGCAGCGCUGCAGGGGAUGCCAGAGGCAGACCUGACGAAGGACGCGGAGUUGCUACGGCGCGCUGAGCAGACGAAGCUGUCAGCCGAGCCGGAGGUGCUCACUCCCACCUUUCUGCGCAUGCUGAUCGCCUUCUGCUACACGGUUCCAGCGCCGACCGACCCGGCCCUCUCGCACGCGAUGCUGUCCACGUCGUCCACCUUGGCUCUGUACGAGUCGCUGGCAAAACACAUCUUCCAAAUUCCUUUGUGCGCGAGUGCGGCGGUUGCGGACGAGGUGAAUCAGCUGUUCGCCACCGCUGCUCUGCGUACCGACACGCUGGUGGACCUGUGUGUGUGGAGCGCCAUACACAACACGCGCGAAGACGAGCUGGAGCUGGCAGAAGGGGUGGCCGCGAAAGAAAACAGCGCAGCAGCGGCAGCAAACCCGGCGGUGGUGUCCCCAGCGCCGCACGCACGUGCCAGGGCUGGACCAGCAAAGACGGCGGGACUUCCUCUUCCACCGAUUCCAUCGCCGAGGGCUGCAGAGGUGAGCACCGAAGCAGCGAUGCCGUCCCUGCCACCACCUCCCACGCCUGCCACGGCGCUCUUCCACCUCAUGCGCCGUGAUGUGUCGCUUCUGUUCGCCGGUAACGAGGACGUGCUGCAGCACACGCCGGAGGCAGCGCGGGCGCGGGCGAAGAACUUCCCGUACGGCUUCCGCACCAUGACGCUCACGACGGUGCGCCUGCUCUUCGCUGCGCUGCGCACGGCGGAGUUGUAUCACCACAUCCUGCCUACCGACAUGCUGCCAGUCAUCGCGCAGCUGUUCGCUCUGCGCGCCUAUUACCCGCUGUCACCUUCAGAAACGGAGGCGGAGCGCAAGGCGGCUCGUCGUAUGCUGGCCUUGAUGCAGAAUACCUUGGCGCUUCUGCCACAAGAGAUGAAGGCGACGACCGUGAAUCAGCUUCUCUGCCGCACUCUGGUCCCCAUGAGCACGAUGACUGGGCAAGCAGACCAGCUCCAGCUCGCCUUGUUCGAGGCCUAUCUGCGCUCCAUGGCGACAGCGAGCGCCGCCAACGCGGUCACGGACGAGCUCAUGCUGCAGCACUGGGUCGACAUCGCGGUACCGGCCAUCACAAACCGGCACAGCGUCACGCUGUCAAUUGCUGGUCACGACUUCCUCAUCGCCGCCUUCCGUGCAGAGAAGUAUGUCAGCCCGCUGUUUGUCCCGACUUACAUCGCCCUCUAUGUCCCGAGUGUUGAGCUCUUCAGCACUGGCGGCAGCGUCGGCCAGAGGUCUACCUACUCACCGCUGCCCGUGAGCGUCAUUCAGCAUUUCGCGCGCAUGGUGCGUGCCGCCUGCCACGGAAUCGAGCGGUGCGACUCGACGGCGCUGGCGCGGCUCUUCGAGGAGGCCGCUAGCAGGGAGGGGGAGGCGACGAUGCCAGGCUCUGUGCAUGCCGCGGCGGCCUACAUGGCCAGCCUGUCUCCAGCGCAGCGAGCUGCACUGCGUAAGCUGACACCGACGAAUGCCGUUCUUCUCGUCGUCUCUGCCUUGUUUGACUGCCUUUGUCUGUUGUGGAACAACACGCCUGGGUACGUGAAGGUGGCACAGGACCUUUUCGUGGCCUACUUCUCUGGACUGUGCAACCUGUUGCAAUGCGCGAGCACACCAGUGUUGCAGCGCGUAUGCGCCUCGAUUGAGGCGAUCGAGGUGGAGCAUCUGCGCGGCUCCGGUAAUGUGCAGCUCCAGUUUCUCAAGUACGUGAGCUCGGUCGUCGACGCGGUCCAGGGACCGUCGAAGGUGGGCAUUGCCGAGUGGUUCCUGAAGAUGAACAAGCGUAUCCAAGAACAGAACUACGGGAAGCACUCGAAGCUGUAGCGCGGCUUGUGUCGGGUCGGAGUUUUGCGGGCAGCUCGGAAAGGAGAUGGCGGCCCAUUGCACGAGGCAUGAACCGGUCUCCGAGGGCGCCUCCCUCCCUCCUCGCCCUUGCGCGUGUUCUGCUACGGGGAGAAGAGCCGCAUGUAGUGGUGUUGACAGCUGAUGAGCACUCGGAUGACAUACCGUUACGACCGCGUGUGCUGCGGCAACGGCCUCCUCUACCCCUGCGCCUGUUGCCGAUAGUGCGUUGGUGACUUUUGUGGUGCCUUGCCGUGGUGUCCCCCUCGCCCUGUCUCUCUUUUCUUUUUUUUUGGGGGGGGGGAGGGGACUUCUCUCGCCUCUACUCACGUGUGGUGUGCUGUGCUCGAGGGGAACAACAGAAUAUAUAUAUAUAUAUAACGAGGGUAGAGCGCAAUGAGUGUUUGGUGCUGAAAAAGGGACGCUGCGCACCUCUCGCGCGAGGAGAGGGUUGUCUUUUUCACGCGAUGGAGAAUGUGGCGUGUAUGUUCGUCUCUUGAGGUCCCUCCACGCGAUGAGCAUGUCCCCGGCCUGAUCCAUAUCUAUC